AGGUGCAAUUUUUCAUCUUAAAUCAAUCAUUUUCAAAUUCAAUCAUCUAUAAGUGAAAAUAAAAGUCAAUCCUCUAUAAUAUAUAGUAUUUUCUUCUAGAAUCAAUCAUCUUCAUGUUAAAAAAAAACCAAUCAUGUGUAAUAAAAUUCAAUCUUCUUCUAUUCAAAAAAAAAAUUCAAUCUUCUUCAAAAAUAAAAAUAAAUAUAACCGAUGGAUAAAUCGAGGAUCAUCUUGGCAGUGGCGAGGUAGGUGUUCAGUGUUCUUCGCACUUCGGAAUUGGAAGAGGAAUAGUGAUGUAUGGCGCAUAAGAACAAACGUUAAUCUGUGAUUUCUUGUGCUAUGGAUUUGUUUUUCGGCUAAUUUUAUUUUAUUUUAGAUUUGUAAUAAAUUGAAUUAGGAAGCUUGUUGAAUGGUUUCUACAAGAAUCCCUAAGUGAAAUCCAGGCUUUAAUGACAGAGGAGUGAAGAUGAAGAUUUGAAUUACUUUGAAGGGUGCUGUAGAGGCCCAUGCAAGAAGCAAAAAAACUUUCUCAGAAUGUAUGGCACUGCAAUUAGUUUCCUUGUCACCCCUUCUGAAGGAUCCUGCCAAGUGCCAACCAUUCAGUUGAUCUUUUGUCACUACUGCUAAUUAUGGCUGGUAUAAGCCACUUGUUGAUCGCAUGAUUUGCAGAUCAGAAUAUAUCAGAGGCUACUGAAGGCAUUGACUCUCCAAUGCUAGCAGAUGAUUCUUCAAAUUUGACCAUGUAAGCCCCUACUUAUCUCUGUUGCACACAUGAACUGAUAUCAAUAUAUGAUCCAAAAUGCAAGAAACUGAUGGUUAUUGGCAAAAAAAUUUGGAGGUUUAUUAUAAGUUAUAACCUGGACUUGACAAAUAUAGGCUGUGAUAAAAUUUCAACUUUUUUUCUUGUUAUAUCUAAAAGGCAUCAUGUAUUGUUAUUACCUUUUAGUUUUAUCCAUGUCUGCCAAGUGUGUCUUGUACAUAUAUACUUUUCACGUUAGCUUAUACUGCUUCUAAUAAUCAU
Molecule: long non-coding RNA, 1021 nt
Organism: Lotus japonicus
Lineage: Eukaryota; Viridiplantae; Streptophyta; Magnoliopsida; Fabales; Fabaceae
Exons: 3
Source: RefSeq, a predicted model, not a curated record